Molecule: ribosomal RNA, 419 nt
Filed under: uncultured delta proteobacterium
Lineage: Bacteria; Deltaproteobacteria
Description: bacterial SSU rRNA
Rfam family: Bacterial small subunit ribosomal RNA
Source: RNAcentral
CUGGCGCCGUGCUUAACACAUGCAAGUCGAACGCGAAAGGGACUUCGGUCCCGAGUAGAGUGGCGCACGGGUGAGUAACGCGUAAGUAAUCUACCCCUGUAUCUGGAAUAACCCACCGAAAGGUGAGCUAAUACCGGAUACGUUUAUCUUGAUGCGAAUGAUGAUAAAGAAAGGUGGCCUCUUCAUGAAAGCUACCGUACAGGGACGAGCUUGCGUACCAUUAGCUGGUUGGUAGGGUAAUGGCCUACCAAGGCGACGAUGGUUAGCGGGUCUGAGAGGAUGAUCCGCCACACUGGAACUGAAACACGGACCAGACUCCUACGGGAGGCAGCAGUGAGGAAUAUUGCGCAGUGGGGGCAACCCUGACGCAGCGACGCCGCGUGGACGAUGAAGGCCCUUGGGUCGUAAAAUCCUGUCAG